GCUUGUAGCCGAGGAACGUCCUCUGCUCACAGGACCUCCUCGUGGCCUUUUAGGCCCUCAAAUAAAUCAUACUUCACCGUCGUGGCUCGACCUCCCCGGAUUCCCGAGCAAUGGAGGAUCAGCCGGAACGACACCCCCUAGUCAGCUGACGUCGGCAGGCGCCAGUCAUCCUAGUCCUUGAGUCUCAGGACUCUCCUAGUCGACCUUCUUCUAGUCAAACCUCCAUUAGUCAGGAGUUGAGUCUUCGGACGGCGGGAUCAACCGCUUCCCGCCUGUCCACAGCCCUUUUGGGUGCAGCUUCAAGCCUUCUUCUAGUCGCCCUCGAGGCAGCCGUGCUGAGGAAAUGGAAUCGCAAGUGUUAGGCGAGUCGAGUGUUAGCUGUGCGUCUCGUGAGUUCGGAAUGAGUAUGCCCCCUUCUUCGAGAACGUCGGCCGUCACCCAGACCGCUGCGCAUCUGUGCAGGUCUCCAGGACACCUCUUCGUAGUCAGUGCAACAUGUUAGUCGUCUGCUGCCCCUCCAUAACCACUUAGUCGUCGGAGGGGCUAGUGCUUAGUCGCAGUUAUCCAGUGAAGAACGACCCAAGAACGUAGUCAAAGAACUCCCCGAUCAACCCGUUCCAGCUGCUGCUGUCAAGUCGCUGGGCAAGUCAGUGAUCUCCGGGAGAUAGUCAGCCCUAGUCUACCGAUCUACCAGUCUACCUGUAGUUUGUAAGAGGACGAGUCUACCCACCGUAGAUGGACCACCAGUUCGUCUCCAAAGAUCUCAUCAGUACUAUCUACCAGUAGUAGUACUUUGGUAUAUUAACUGCUGGGUAUUCCAGUCUCCAGUCUCCAGUAUUAGUUUACUGUUCAGUAUUCAAAGUAGCAUUAGAUAUUACUACCAAAGAUUAUUUUUUUAGAUUAUUUAAGAGCCAGUUACCAAAAGUAGUCCAUAAGAGCUAGUAUCCAAAGUUUUGUUUACCAAAGAUGAGUUACUAGCAUUAGUCAGCUAGUUCUCUUUCACUAGUCACUAUAGUUAUUAUAAUGUUCACCACACCAAAGAUCACUGUAGGUUAGUAAAUAGCACAAAAACUAAAAAAAAA
Molecule: long non-coding RNA, 1082 nt
Organism: Penaeus indicus
Lineage: Eukaryota; Metazoa; Arthropoda; Malacostraca; Decapoda; Penaeidae
Exons: 2
Source: RefSeq, a predicted model, not a curated record